CCUACGGGUGGCAGCAGUGAGGAAUAUUGGUCAAUGGACGAGAGUCUGAACCAGCCAAGUAGCGUGAAGGAUGACUGCCCUAUGGGUUGUAAACUUCUUUUAUAAAGGAAUAAAACGAGGCAUGUAUACCUUCUUGUAUGUACUAUAUGAAUAAGGAUCGGCUAACUCCGUGCCCGCAGCCGCGGUAAUAAGGAGGAUCCGAGCGUUAUCCGGAUUUAUUGGGUUUAAAGGGAGCGUAGAUGGAUUGUUAAGUCAGUUGUGAAAGUUUGCGGCUCAACCGUAAAAUUGCAAUUGAUACUGGCAGUCUUGAGUACAGUAGAGGUAGGCGGAAUUCGUGGUGUAGCGGUGAAAUGCUUAGAUAUCACGAAGAACCCCGAUUGCGAAGGCAGCUCACUAAACUGCGACUGACAUUGAUGCUCGAAAGUGUGGGUAUCAAACAGGAUUAGAUACCCUAGUAGUC
This 460-nucleotide ribosomal RNA is filed under the name uncultured bacterium. Its description in RNAcentral is "partial 16S ribosomal RNA". It matches the Rfam family "Bacterial small subunit ribosomal RNA", at positions 338 to 795 of the family's 1533-position model. The record is from RNAcentral.